UACGAAGGGGGCUAGCGUUGUUCGGAAUUACUGGGCGUAAAGCGUGCGCAGGCGGCUUCUCAAGUCAGGGGUGAAAGCCCAGAGCUCAACUCUGGAAUUGCCUUUGAGACUGAGUGGCUUGAGUACGAGAGAGGUGAGUGGAAUUCCCAGUGUAGAGGUGAAAUUCGUAGAUAUUGGGAAGAACACCGGUGGCGAAGGCGGCAUCCUGGACCGGCAUUGACGCUGAUGAGCGAAAGCUAGGGGAGCAAACGGG
Molecule: ribosomal RNA, 253 nt
Filed under: uncultured bacterium
Lineage: Bacteria
Description: partial 16S ribosomal RNA
Rfam family: Bacterial small subunit ribosomal RNA
Source: RNAcentral